GGGGGAUAUUGCACAAUGGGGGAAACCCUGAUGCAGCGACGCCGCGUGGAGGAAGAAGGUUUUCGGAUUGUAAACUCCUGUCGUUAGGGACGAUAAUGACGGUACCUAACAAGAAAGCACCGGCUAACUACGUGCCAGCAGCCGCGGUAAAACGUAGGGUGCAAGCGUUGUCCGGAAUUACUGGGUGUAAAGGGAGCGCAGGCGGGAAGACAAGUUGGAAGUGAAAACCAUGGGCUCAACCCAUGAAUUGCUUUCAAAACUGUUUUUCUUGAGUAGUGCAGAGGUAGAUGGAAUUCCCGGUGUAGCGGUGGAAUGCGUAGAUAUCGGGAGGAACACCAGUGGCGAAGGCGGUCUACUGGGCACCAACUGACGCUGAGGCUCGAAAGCAUGGGUAGCAAACAGGAUUAGAUACCCUGGUAGUCCAUGCCGUAAACGAUGAUUACUAGGUGUUGGGGGAUUGACCCCCUCAGUGCCGCAGUUAACACAAUAAGUAAUCCACCUGGGGAGUACGACCGCAAGGUUGAAACUCAAAGGAAUUGACGGGGGCCCACACAAGCAGUGGAGUAUGUGGUUUAAUUCGAAGCAACGCGAAGAACCUUACCAGGUCUUGACAUCCGAUGCAUAGCACAGAGAUGUGUGAAAUCCUUCGGGACAUCGAGACAGGUGGUGCAUGGUUGUCGUCAGCUCGUGUCGUGAGAUGUUGGGUUAAGUCCCGCAACGAGCGCAACCCUUAUUGCCAGUUACUACGUUAAGAGGACUCUGGCGAGACUGCCGUUGACAAAACGGAGGAAGGUGGGGAUGACGUCAAAUCAUCAUGCCCUUUAUGACCUGGGCUACACACGUACUACAAUGGCGUUAAACAAAGAGAAGCAAGACCGCGAGGUGGAGCAAAACUCAAAAACAACGUCUCAGUUCAGAUUGCAGGCUGCAACUCGCCUGCAUGAAGUCGGAAUUGCUAGUAAUCGCGGAUCAGCAUGCCGCGGUGAAUACGUUCCCG
This 997-nucleotide ribosomal RNA is filed under the name uncultured organism. RNAcentral describes it as "bacterial SSU rRNA". It matches the Rfam family "Bacterial small subunit ribosomal RNA", at positions 356 to 1376 of the family's 1533-position model. The record is from RNAcentral.